CUACCAUGCAGUCGAGCGGAUGAGAAGAGCUUGCUCUUCGAUUCAGCGGCGGACGGGUGAGUAAUGCCUAGGAAUCUGCCUGGUAGUGGGGGACAACGUUUCGAAAGGAACGCUAAUACCGCAUACGUCCUACGGGAGAAAGCAGGGGACCUUCGGGCCUUGCGCUAUCAGAUGAGCCUAGGUCGGAUUAGCUAGUUGGUGAGGUAAUGGCUCACCAAGGCGACGAUCCGUAACUGGUCUGAGAGGAUGAUCAGUCGCACUGGAACUGAGACACGGUCGAAACUCCUACGGGAGGCAACAAUGGGGAAUAUGGGACAGUGGGCGAUAACCUGAUCCAGCCAUGCCGCGUGUGUGAAGAAGGUCUUCGGAUUGUAAAGCGCUUUAAGUUGGGAGGAAGGGCAUUAACCUAAUACGUUAGUGUUUUGACGUUACCGACAGGAUAAGCACCGGCUAACUCUGUGCCAGCAGCCGCGGUAAUACAGAGGGUGCAAGCGUUAAUCGGAAUUACUGGGCGUAAAGCGCGCGUAGGUGGUUUGUUAAGUUGGAUGUGAAAGCCCCGGGCUCAACCUGGGAACUGCAUCCAAAACUGGCAAGCUAGAGUACGGUAGAGGGUGGUGGAAUUUCCUGUGUAGCGGUGAAAUGCGUAAAUAUAGGAAGGAACACCAGUGGCGAAGGCGACCACCUGGACUGAUACUGACACUGAGGUGCGAAAGCGUGGGGAGCAAACAGGAUU
Molecule: ribosomal RNA, 733 nt
Filed under: uncultured bacterium
Lineage: Bacteria
Description: bacterial SSU rRNA
Rfam family: Bacterial small subunit ribosomal RNA
Source: RNAcentral